ACCGCUAGCGGUUCAACAGUAUACGCACGUCCGACUGGAAACUCGGGCGCAGAUUCUCCCUGGCGCCGGCUUUGUUUCGGUUUAGACUCUCCAAUACCAUUCUUUUCGUUCAUCGCGAACGGAAACGGUAUUGCACAGAACCAGGCAAAAGUAUGCAAAGCACGAAAAAACAUAAAAAGAGCGUGUCCUUGCGUGACUCACCAGCGCGCAAUCCGCGGAAAGCAGGUAGAGCCAGGCGUUCGAAUCUUCUGUGCGUAAGUUGAUACAAGCCUCGUCGUAUGCAAGAGUGUCUUGGUCACAAAUCCACUCGUCCAUUGUGUCCAUGUCACGCUGAACCGAGAAUAAACGCUGGAUAAGGAAGAACUCGCGGUGCACGCUUCGAAAGUCGCGCGAGGAAUCACGACUGUUGACUAGAUUUAACACGCAUCCUUAAUUUGAGAGAAAUGUUUACAACACGUUCCAUAUACGGUGACCGGGAAAGUGGAACGCUAAAAACCGAAUUUUUACCAUGAGUUCUUCUGCCAUUUAUGGUAUGAUAAUAAAGUAUCUAGAUGAAAUAAAAAUGUUUUUACGCAACACAAGAAGAAAAUAUUUGAAUUUGAAAAAAAUUGAAAUUCGAAUUUCUCGAUUAAUUUCUUGACGAGUCGAAGAAAUAUUUCCGAACUAUAAUUUGAUAUUUAUGCACAUAAGAUUGUUACUUUAAAAUCAUCGAUAUAGCAGAAAUUUAAUCUAUGAAGAAUCGAUAUUCUAUGGAUAAAGAACUUUUAGUGGAUGAAGUUCACCGCUGUCUUUCGCCUAAUAUUGCAUUGUUAUGAAAUAACCGACACGCUAUCGAACUCACAAGUAGAUGCGUAUUAUAAAUACUAGGACCUCAAGAAGGAAAAAUGUCGAGCAGUGAUCACGGGACAAAAAGCAAAGAACAAUCGGUGCUUCUCAACGCAAAAUAAUUAAUACAAGGUAUAUAACAAGUUAGUUGGAUAAUUCGCCAUAAUAAUCAGCUCUAACGGUAUAUUACCACAUAUGCGUACGUAUAUCGACGUUCGGUCAGCAAAUGUUUCCACGAUCAAGUAUUGUGUUUAAUCGGCGCGAGUUGGAACGAGAGUGGUGCGACAGCUUUUUAAUAUCGCGCCGUGUGCUGGCGAACAGACAGCCGUCUCGAGUCGUCACGAAUCACGUGGGUGCAUCGACUGACAUUUCACCUGGCAUUCAGCAGGAAUUUUACCUGGCCACUAACCGAGCCAUCGCGAUCUCCUGCAUACAGUAUCGGCCGCCUUGAACCAGACUUUUUAUCCGACGGGCUUUGGAACGUGCUUACCGAUCAUCGUUCAGCGCCUUAUGGUCUGCGAGAUCGAUGUAAUUCUCGUUCGUAACAGAUGUUCCAUGUAACGGAACUUCUUCUGAGUUUAACGGGAUCGAAUGAAAAAAUGUAUAAUGAAACGUGAGGCAACAUCAUUGUGGAAUCAUACAAGCGGAGAUAGGCAACCUCGGACAGGUGGAAAUCGACACACACAUUGACCUGAAUUGGAGAACUCGAUAAAAGGGACUUGAAACGUAUGAAAAUCGAUAAAGCCUUAGCAUGCGAUGAACUUAUAUUGAAUGAAAUCAUUGAGGUCAUUUAAUCCCUAUACUAUUAUCAGGAAUAUUAUUUGAAGUAUAGGUAAAAGUAUUUAUUCGUGUUAUCACAAUUGCUGAUAAAUUUAAUUGAUUAAUUGAUAGAUAUGUCAAUAAUAAUACAAUCGCGGAUGAGAUAUAACAUGGAACAUGCACCUAAUAUUCGAUGCAUAACGAAUUUUUGUAGAUUAUUCCAAUGAUCGUCUAAUUUAAAAAGGUUGGUUAGGUUUAAUUAGGUUGGUACUCCCAAACUAAUGGAAAACAUGACGUGCAUAAAUGGAAAAGAUCUUAAUUUUCAAGUUCCUUUAUUUCGAAGCUAAUUAAAAUACUUUGACAUAUAUAUAUAUAUAACAUCAUGUAAUGAUUCAAAUAAAUAAGUGCCAUUAAAUACGUA
Molecule: long non-coding RNA, 2005 nt
Organism: Bombus terrestris (buff-tailed bumblebee)
Lineage: Eukaryota; Metazoa; Arthropoda; Insecta; Hymenoptera; Apidae
Exons: 4
Source: RefSeq, a predicted model, not a curated record